GGGUAUGGGGAUAAUCUGGCUGGUUAAACUUGUGUCCCCUUCCUCCCUCACUGCUCUAUGUGCAGUUCUCCCAAAGCUGUACAUUUAGUCAAAGAGGACAACCUUCCCCAGCGUAGAACCAGUCUUCUCUCAAGGCUAUAUGAGUAGCUGAGUUUCCCCUGUCAGAACUUGUAAAACAAGCCCUCAAAAGCAAUUCCAUUAGCUCGAGAGAUGGCUCGGGGGUUAGGAGCAACGCCAUAUGGGUACUAGGAAUUGAACUGAUAU
RNAcentral lists this small nuclear RNA (264 nucleotides) under Mus caroli (Ryukyu mouse). RNAcentral's name for it is "sRNA (MGP_CAROLIEiJ_G0008778.1)". The stretch from base 1 to 223 matches the Rfam family "7SK RNA", at positions 50 to 331 of the family's 331-position model. Rfam says of the family: 7SK was discovered as an abundant small nuclear RNA in the mid-70s but a possible function has only recently been suggested. Two independent studies have found that 7SK RNA binds the CDK9/cyclin T complex (known as elongation factor P-TEFb). The record is from RNAcentral. Lineage: Eukaryota; Metazoa; Chordata; Mammalia; Rodentia; Muridae.